UAAAUUGUUUGGGCUGCGUCGCUUAGUAAAAGUCGAAACGACGAUGC
This 47-nucleotide small RNA is filed under the name Trypanosoma cruzi. Its description in RNAcentral is "small nuclear RNA (snRNA) U5". Lineage: Eukaryota; Euglenozoa; Kinetoplastea; Trypanosomatida; Trypanosomatidae. The record is from RNAcentral.